This 497-nucleotide ribosomal RNA is filed under the name uncultured Methanomicrobiales archaeon. RNAcentral describes it as "bacterial SSU rRNA". It matches the Rfam family "Archaeal small subunit ribosomal RNA", at positions 842 to 1338 of the family's 1478-position model. Lineage: Archaea; Methanobacteriati; Methanobacteriota; Methanomicrobia; Methanomicrobiales. The record is from RNAcentral.
GCCCGCUCAGAAACUUAAAGGAAUUGACGGGGGAGCACCACAACAGGUGGAGCCUGCGGUUUAAUCGGACUCAACGCCGGGAAGCUCACCAGAUAAGACGGCUGAAUGAUAGUCGGGCUGAAGACUCUACUUGACUAGCUGAGAGGAGGUGCAUGGCCGUCGUCAGUUCGUACUGUGAAGCAUCCUGUUAAGUCAGGCAACGAGCGAGACCCACGCCAACAGUUGCCAGCUCGUCCUCCGGGAUGAUGGGGACACUGUUGGGACCGCCUCUGCUAAAGAGGAGGAAGGAAUGGGCAACGGUAGGUCAGCAUGCCCCGAAUUAUCCGGGCUACACGCGGGCUACAAUGGUCAGGACAAUGGGUAUCGACACCGAAAGGUGAAGGCAAUCUCCUAAACCCAUCCGUAGUUCGGAUUGUGGGCUGCAACUCGCCCACAUGAAGCUGGAAUCUGUAGUAAUCGUGUCUCAAAAUGGCACGGUGAAUAUGUCCCUGCUCCUU